AACUUACGCUAAUACCGCAUACGACCUACGGGUGAAAGUGGGGGACCGCAAGGCCUCACGCGAUUAGAUGAGCCGAUGUCCGAUUAGCUAGUUGGCGGGGUAAUGGCCCACCAAGGCGACGAUCGGUAGCUGGUCUGAGAGGAUGAUCAGCCACACUGGAACUGAGACACGGUCCAGACUCCUACGGGAGGCAGCAGUGGGGAAUAUUGGACAAUGGGCGCAAGCCUGAUCCAGCCAUACCGCGUGGGUGAAGAAGGCCUUCGGGUUGUAAAGCCCUUUUGUUGGGAAAGAAAUCCUGUCGAUUAAUACUCGGUGGGGAUGACGGUACCCAAAGAAUAAGCACCGGCUAACUUCGUGCCAGCAGCCGCGGUAAUACGAAGGGUGCAAGCGUUACUCGGAAUUACUGGGCGUAAAGCGUGCGUAGGUGGUGGUUUAAGUCUGCUGUGAAAGCCCUGGGCUCAACCUGGGAAUUGCAGUGGAUACUGGAUCACUAGAGUGUGGUAGAGGGAUGCGGAAUUUCUGGUGUAGCAGUGAAAUGCGUAGAGAUCAGAAGGAACAUCCGUGGCGAAGGCGGCAUCCUGGGCCAACACUGACA
This 595-nucleotide ribosomal RNA is filed under the name Pseudoxanthomonas japonensis. RNAcentral's name for it is "bacterial SSU rRNA". It matches the Rfam family "Bacterial small subunit ribosomal RNA", at positions 155 to 745 of the family's 1533-position model. The record is from RNAcentral. Lineage: Bacteria; Pseudomonadati; Pseudomonadota; Gammaproteobacteria; Lysobacterales; Lysobacteraceae.